UAUAUAAUUUACAAUAAUGAAUUAUAUAAAUAUCUAAAUUUUAGAUAUUAUAUAAGGGAUUUGCGGUGAAUGUGAUCUUGAAUGAUCUUCAGUUGUGAGCAGUAAAGGAUGCGAUUGAGAUGCUGCAUUUGAGAUUACAGAGCAACAACAUAAGAGAGAUCUUGGUGCGCCUCCAUAUUUCAUGCCAUACCGCAUAUCUAUAUUGUAACAGAAUAGUAUCGGUAUAAGAUUUAAUACUAAGAUAGAUAACUUUGGAGCAAAUAAUAUAUAUGGUUAAAGAAAUCUAAACAUAAUGUAGCGAUAACAUCUAAAACACUUUCUAGCUCAUAAACAGCCAAUAUAUUAGAAAUUAACACACUCUUUCAAGAAUCUUAAGUGCCUACUGAAGUACAAUUAAUUGCUAUUUUCCGAGCCAACUGUGUAUAUCAGGAGGGCCGCCUAAGUUGUCUCUCACGUGGUUCAGUAUUUUAGUGGUUGGCUGUGAGAUAAUCUUAGGCUACCCUUUUCAUUUCCAUGAUAUUGUAUUCCCUACUACUUACGUAGAUGUACUUAUACUAGAGUAGUAUAAAUUAUUCGUAUUAUCAAAAAAAAAAGAAAAAAAAAAGAGCACAACCAAUGUGCAAAGGAUCUGACAAAACCAAUCCUCAAUUUACAACACAAGACUUUUCAAAUAAAAACUGGAAAAUAAAAUCCUCUUGAGUUUUGGAAUAUCAUUUUUAUAUCUACGAGGGCGGAUGUUUUUAAAUGAUUGUCAGGGUUGUCUGACAUAGCAAUGCCAAAGGCAGUCUGAAAAAGCACAUAAGAAGAAUGGAAACCAA
This 818-nucleotide long non-coding RNA is filed under the name Phoenix dactylifera (date palm). RNAcentral describes it as "long non-coding RNA (PDAC_LNC017925)". Lineage: Eukaryota; Viridiplantae; Streptophyta; Magnoliopsida; Arecales; Arecaceae. The record is from RNAcentral.